GAUGAACGCUGGCGGCGUGCCUAACACAUGCAAGUCGAGCGAUUCUCUUCGGAGAAGAGCGGCGGACGGGUGAGUAACGCGUGGGUAACCUGCCCUGUACACACGGAUAACAUACCGAAAGGUAUGCUAAUACGAGAUAAUAUGCUUUUAUCGCAUGGUAGAAGUAUCAAAGCUCCGGCGGUACAGGAUGGACCCGCGUCUGAUUAGCUAGUUGGUAAGGUAACGGCUUACCAAGGCGACGAUCAGUAGCCGACCUGGGAGGGUGAUCGGCCACAUUGGAACUGAGACACGGUCCAAACUCCUACGGGAGGCAGCAGUGGGGAAUAUUGCACAAUGGGCGAAAGCCUGAUGCAGCAACGCCGCGUGAGCGAUGAAGGCCUUCGGGUCGUAAAGCUCUGUCCUCAAGGAAGAUAAUGACGGUACUUGAGGAGGAAGCCCCGGCUAACUACGUGCCAGCCGCCGCGGUAA
This 468-nucleotide ribosomal RNA is filed under the name uncultured bacterium. RNAcentral's name for it is "partial 16S ribosomal RNA". It matches the Rfam family "Bacterial small subunit ribosomal RNA", at positions 28 to 523 of the family's 1533-position model. The record is from RNAcentral.